Gambusia affinis (western mosquitofish) is the source of this 1287-nucleotide long non-coding RNA. RefSeq lists it as uncharacterized. The record is from RefSeq and is a predicted model, not a curated record. The transcript is spliced from 3 exons. Lineage: Eukaryota; Metazoa; Chordata; Actinopteri; Cyprinodontiformes; Poeciliidae.
AUUCUUAGACAGAGCGGCGCACUAAAGAGUAUGUUGAAGUUUCCUUCUUACCUCCGUCGAGAUGCUCUCGGUGUUUGUCCUGGUAGACCCUCUGCUCGCCCUGCUGUCCCCGUCUGACCGCCUGGAACAACAACAACACCCGGACUCAGGACGAAGGUGAGCUUCCCAGCUGUUUCCUGGGAGAUCCAGAGUUUCUGAACGACGAAGGGACAACAGGACCAACAUGAGGCAAACACCAGGAAGGAACGCUGAGAACAAAUUGACGACUCUGAGCUGCCUCCAACUGCAGCUAAGGAGCUCCAGUCCGGACAGCAGAUGUUGCAGAGCUGCAGACGUCGUGGAAGACAUGGUGGCGUUGGGUUGAAGGGUCGUCCUGAUGCAGGAUGAGCUGCACCAGAGUAGGAAAGUAACUAUAGUAAAAAUUUUAAAAGCAAAAAGUUACUCAAGUAAAUUUUACUUGUAGAAAUGUUUUUAUUAAGCUCUACUCUUUCAUUUAACUUGAAUAAUUUAUUAUAAAGUAUUUCUGCUCUUUCUUGAGUCAAAUUUCAGAAUUUUCUUCCCACUGAAUGAAAAACAAACAUAUUUUAACCAGAAACCCUCCAGUCACAAAACUGCAGUUUCUGUGAAAGUGUCAGAAGUUUUUUAUUUAAAGAAACUGAUUUGGAAACAUUUUAGUUUGUCUGAUUUUCUUAAUUUUUGUUUCUUAUACGAUUUUUUGUAAUUUUGGUUCUUAAAGUACCAAAAUCUCAAGUCGACUUUACAUUUUGGUUUGUCUGAUGAUGUAAUUUUUAAAUAUUAAAUGAAUAAAUUAAAUAAUUUGGUCAGUUUCUCAGUACUUGAAUAGACUUUUUACCACAUACAUUUUUACUCUUCAGUAGUUUAUUGAACGAUGCCACGAUUGGCUCAAGGUCAUAACAAAAACAGGAGACCAUGCAGAGGUUAAAGUGCAGAAAAAGAAACAUUUAUUAACCAAAACUAUGAUGAAUUGAGAAAGUCAGUAUCAGUGGCUAAUGUAAAUGCUUGGAUUUGUUUCACGACAUUUUUCCUUUUGCUGGAGUAAAAAUAUGUUUAAUCGUUCUGCUCUUACUUGAGUUCAGUUUCUGAUUUCUCUGCCACCUCUGGCUGCAACAAUGCAAAAACACCAAAAUCUUACCAAGUUUUGGUUUAGUUUCUAGAGAAAAUAUCAUAGGGCUCGUCUCUUGGAAAAAGACUAAAUCAUCUUACCAGUAACAUUUCUGAAAUAUUAAUGUUAUUUUACAUUAUUUUAAUGAAAAGUAUUAGCGCCAC